UACGUAGGGUGCGAGCGUUAAUCGGAAUUACUGGGCGUAAAGCGUGCGCAGGCGGUUCUGUAAGCCAGAUGUGAAAUCCCCGGGCUUAACCUGGGAAUGGCAUUUGGGACUGCAAGGCUUGAGUGCGGCAGAGGAGACUAGAAUUCCUGGUGUAGCAGUGAAAUGCGUAGAUAUCAGGAGGAAUACCGAUGGCGAAGGCAGGUCUCUGGGCUGACACUGACGCUCAUGCACGAAAGCGUGGGGAGCAAACAGG
RNAcentral lists this ribosomal RNA (253 nucleotides) under uncultured bacterium. RNAcentral's name for it is "partial 16S ribosomal RNA". It matches the Rfam family "Bacterial small subunit ribosomal RNA", at positions 524 to 776 of the family's 1533-position model. The record is from RNAcentral.